UACGUAGGGGGCAAGCGUUGUCCGGAUUUAUUGGGCGUAAAGAGCUCGUAGGCGGCUCAGUAAGUCGGGUGUGAAAGCCCCGAGCUCAACUCGGGGAGGUCACUCGAUACUGCUGUGGCUAGAGUCCGGUAGGGGAGCGUGGAAUUCCCGGUGUAGCGGUGAAAUGCGCAGAUAUCGGGAGGAACACCAGCGGCGAAGGCGGCGCUCUGGGCCGGAACUGACGCUGAGGAGCGAAAGCGUGGGGAGCGAACAGG
This 254-nucleotide ribosomal RNA is filed under the name uncultured bacterium. RNAcentral describes it as "partial 16S ribosomal RNA". It matches the Rfam family "Bacterial small subunit ribosomal RNA", at positions 524 to 776 of the family's 1533-position model. The record is from RNAcentral.